GACCUCUAGCCCCGUGGACUUCUGAGGAUCCCAUUGCUCCUCAGCCGGGGCUGGAGGCCAGAUCGGCCCUGGAGAAGCACCAUCAGCCUGCCUCCAGUGGGCAGCCUUGUUUUCCUGUGGUGGCUGGGAAUU
This is a non-coding RNA of Cavia aperea (Brazilian guinea pig), 132 nucleotides long. NCBI's taxonomy places the organism in Eukaryota, Metazoa, Chordata, Mammalia, Rodentia, Caviidae. The record is from Ensembl.